GGAUUAGAUACCCUGGUAGUCCACGCCCUAAACGAUGUCAACUAGGUGUUGGAAGGGUUAAACCUUUUAGUACCGUAGCUAACGCGUGAAGUUGACCGCCUGGGGAGUACGGCCGCAAGGUUAAAACUCAAAGGAAUUGACGGGGACCCGCACAAGCGGUGGAUGAUGUGGAUUAAUUCGAUGCAACGCGAAAAACCUUACCUACCCUUGACAUGUCAGGAAUCCCGAAGAGAUUUGGGAGUGCUCGAAAGAGAACCUGAACACAGGUGCUGCAUGGCUGUCGUCAGCUCGUGCCG
Molecule: ribosomal RNA, 296 nt
Filed under: uncultured bacterium
Lineage: Bacteria
Description: partial 16S ribosomal RNA
Rfam family: Bacterial small subunit ribosomal RNA
Source: RNAcentral